Non-coding RNA from Podarcis lilfordi (Lilford's wall lizard), 1523 nucleotides. The record is from the annotation of a GenBank genome assembly. NCBI's taxonomy places the organism in Eukaryota, Metazoa, Chordata, Lepidosauria, Squamata, Lacertidae.
CUGUGGAAUUGAAUUUAAUGGGGGAGGGUAUCUACACCUGAGCAGACGUGCAUAGGAUUGCAGUGCACCAUUUGCAGACAUUGGAGGGUGGGGUGUCAGUGCCAUGUGGCACUAACAGAAGGUAAACAUUAUGUGACUCAAGAGGGUGGCAAAUCGUGCAUUUUCUCCAUCUGCAUCAUUGGCGGAGGCUGCAGAAUUUGGUUUAUCUUGUUGCAGAAGUUUAAUUACAUUUUAGAGAGGAUUACAAAAAGCCCUGAGAAUGUAAGUCCUCAAUGCAAAAAAGAAAGUAAAUCAAAAGCAGGUCUUAACUUAAAACAAUGCCAAAAUGAAACAGUGGCGUUUCCAGCAAGUCCCUGAGAUUUUUGGGUGCUGCCUUUUUCUUCUGUCUGUUCCAGGCAUGGAGAACCUUGCUGGGUUCCAGCUCCCAACAUCCUUGACUUUUGGCCUUGAUGGCUUGGGCUGAUGGGAGUUGGAUUCCAACAGCGUUACAGGUUCUCCACCCCAGAUCUGUGACAUCUUCUCUCCUGUUAGGCACUGGGCAAAUCUAUCCCAGUCUGCUCCAAUUCACCAGAGCUCUUUGGGGGUUCAGGUAGAGGAGUCUUCUGCAGGCCUGGUACCCAAGGUGCUUUUGGCUAGAAAUGAUGGGGGAUUGAAUUAAAAACCACCUGUGCACAACGUGCGCUUUCAUUUAGCUGCGAUCCCUCCCCACCACAAAUGCGUCUCCAGCAUAGCUGUCAACUUACAGUUUUGAAAAUAAGGGACCAGCAGCCUUGAAAAUAAGGGAUCAUCAGCCAAAAUAAGGGAUUUUCAGAGCACAGGUAUGUUCAACUUCUGAGCCCCUCCGAGCCAAAGGCAGAAAGCCCAGCUAGCAGCCAAACGAAGCCUCAAGCGGUGGUUCCCACAGCGCAGCAACCAGGCAAAGGGAAUGCAGCAAGGAAAAGCACCGUCACCUCUCCGCUGGGAAGCACUGAGCAAAGAAAGGCGAGUCCCCAGGCAACGCGGCCGAUUUGAUUGGCACAAGGCAUGCAAGCUCCGCCCCCCAGUCGUUCUUAGACUCCUUAUUGGGUGAGCAACGCAGCCAAGCAACACAGCUGGAGCCUCCCUCCUCCCUGGCUGGCAGGAAGGGAGGGAGAGGAGCUGCUUCCUUUGAAACCUGGGAAAUUUAAGGGACAUCAUCAAUAAGGGACAGCAGCGGCACACAGCGCUGGGAUAAGGGACUUUCCCGCCAAAUAAGGGACGGUUGACAGCUGUGGUCUCCAGCUGCCACGCCAUGCAUUUCCCCUGAGAUUUAUUUUGAGUCCUAGUUAACAGACUUCCUUUCUAAGCACGACUGUGUGCUGCAGAAGAUAUGCACAAUUUUUAAAGGUUUUCGCAAACCAAACCGCCCCAAACCACGUUGAUCCAGGCUUUUUGGGUCCCCGUAAAGUCAAAUCCAUCAGCAAAUAACCCAGGGAAGCAGGUCAGCAUCAGCUAUUGGAGCAGAGUUCAGUUCAGCAGGAUGUAGAAUCCAGGCCAGGCCUUUC